GAUGAACGCUGGCGGCGUGCCUAACACAUGCAAGUCGAGCGAUUCUCUUCGGAGAAGAGCGGCGGACGGGUGAGUAACGCGUGGGUAACCUGCCCUGUACACACGGAUAACAUACCGCAAGGUAUGCUAAUACGGGAUAAUAUGCUUUAGUCGCAUGGCUGAAGUAUCAAAGCUCCGGCGGUACAGGAUGGACCCGCGCCUGAUUAGCUAGUUGGUAAGGUAAUGGCUUACCAAGGCGACGAUCAGUAGCCGACCUGAGAGGGUGAUCGGCCACAUUGGAACUGAGACACGGUCCAAACUCCUACGGGAGGCAGCAGUGGGGAAUAUUGCACAAUGGGCGAAAGCCUGAUGCAGCAACGCCGCGUGAGCGAUGAAGGCCUUCGGGUCGUAAAGCUCUGUCCUCAAGGAAGAUAAUGACGGUACUUGAGGAGGAAGCCCCGGCUAACUACGUGCCAGCCGCCGCCGUAA
Molecule: ribosomal RNA, 468 nt
Filed under: uncultured bacterium
Lineage: Bacteria
Description: partial 16S ribosomal RNA
Rfam family: Bacterial small subunit ribosomal RNA
Source: RNAcentral